GAAACUUCUAGAACUCUUAGUUCUCUGGAAGAAAUGCUGGAAGCCCUUAAGCAAAGGGACGAGAAUGAGAAGCCUAAAGAUUGCCCACCAGCAUUACCAUUUAGGCCAAAGUUAGCUUCGAGAACUAGGCCUCCUUCUCCGAAGAGAUCGAUGCCUGGUACCCCGGAAAAGCGUGACAUCGAAUUGGAAAAUGGCAAAAGAGAAGAAGAGUUUAAAGGGAAACUAAUUAAUGUGUUUGGAGCCAAAAUGUGUAA
This 254-nucleotide unclassified non-coding RNA is filed under the name Hevea brasiliensis (rubber tree). Lineage: Eukaryota; Viridiplantae; Streptophyta; Magnoliopsida; Malpighiales; Euphorbiaceae. The record is from RNAcentral.